CAUCUCCGCUGCCGCCGCCGCUCGCCCCGCCGCUGCGGAUCCCGAGGAGGAGCCCGUGGGUCACCGCCGCCCCGCGACUAGCCCCGUAGUACAGCCAGAGAGCAUGCGCAGCUACCCCAGCGCCCUAGGGAACCCCCGGGCCAGCCUGGCGCUACCUGCGAUCAACAGGUCCCGCCGCCACCGCACCCCCCCCUCCCUACACAGAGCCUCGGCCCCACCCCGCUCCGGCCCAGCGCCCCGCCCCCUUCGCCAGCCUCUUGCUCCGGCUGAGGUUGCGUGAGAUUUCGCCCGGGACAGCUCCCGCGCCGAGAGGAUUGAGUUCUCGCGAGGUCUGGGCGUUGGCGUCAAUAAAGAGCGCGAACGCAGGUCGCUUGACGUGUGUUGAGCGGCUGAUGGUUGGUUGGUGCUCUUCGGCUCUGAAGGAGAGGGAAGGAGUCGGGAGAAGAGGCGUGAAAGCUCUCAACAUUUCCAAGGGCCAUGAUAGCUGACAACUCAUUCCUCUCUCUUUGCCUAACCAAGAGUUUCAAAGCAUUGCCUCACCACCAUCAUCCCCAGCGAGAAUGAUCCAAAGGGACCUUGAGAAA
RNAcentral lists this long non-coding RNA (584 nucleotides) under Phascolarctos cinereus (koala). RNAcentral's name for it is "lncRNA (ENSPCIG00000033952.1)". Lineage: Eukaryota; Metazoa; Chordata; Mammalia; Diprotodontia; Phascolarctidae. The record is from RNAcentral.